This 468-nucleotide ribosomal RNA is filed under the name uncultured bacterium. Its description in RNAcentral is "partial 16S ribosomal RNA". It matches the Rfam family "Bacterial small subunit ribosomal RNA", at positions 28 to 507 of the family's 1533-position model. The record is from RNAcentral.
GACGAACGCUGGCGGCGUGCUUAACACAUGCAAGUCGAACGGAAAGGCCCUGCUUUUGUGGGGUGCUCGAGUGGCGAACGGGUGAGUAACACGUGAGUAACCUGCCCUUGACUUUGGGAUAACUUCAGGAAACUGGGGCUAAUACCGGAUAGGAGCUCCUGCUGCAUGGUGGGGGUUGGAAAGUUUCGGCGGUUGGGGAUGGACUCGCGGCUUAUCAGCUUGUUGGUGGGGUAGUGGCUUACCAAGGCUUUGACGGGUAGCCGGCCUGAGAGGGUGACCGGCCACAUUGGGACUGAGAUACGGCCCAGACUCCUACGGGAGGCAGCAGUGGGGAAUAUUGCACAAUGGGCGGAAGCCUGAUGCAGCAACGCCGCGUGCGGGAUGACGGCCUUCGGGUUGUAAACCGCUUUCGCCUGUGACGAAGCGUGAGUGGCGGUAAUGGGUAAAGGAGCACCGGCUAACUACGUG